UCUCAACGAAUUAAAGAAUAGAGUCGUACCUUUCAGUUUUCAAGAUGAAAGACAUGCGCAGAAGGGUUUAUCGAUUGCAACCCUUUUCAGUUGCUGUCUGACAAUGGUAUAAGACUCUUGUAUUGGAAUGAGCUGCUCUUAUUGUAACAAAAUAAUAGUUGAACUAAUUAGUGAUGUAUCAUACAUUCUAGUUUAUCGACUACGAUGUUAAUAAGAUGUUUUAUAAUACUGAAAAUGUGAUCUACAUCUUCUGAGAUAAAGUGCAAUGAAUUUUUAAUAUAUUGUCAUAACUUUUUUAAAGUGAAAAUAAACAAUAUUAGGAAAAGAGAAAAUAAUGUAAUUUGAAUACACAAAGUAAGCUUCAACAAUCUAACAAGUUGGUUUAAUUGAAAGUAAAACAGAUGGUUGUUUGGAAAAAUUAAACGAGGUGGUAUAUUCCCUACCACUUUUAUUUCUGAAGGACAUGCGCAGCAGGAUCCGUUAACUGCGACCCUUCCUCAGUUAUGUUUCGAACGUGGAAUGAAACAGGUGCAAUAUUUGAUAAGUAAACCAAUAGUGAGGUUUAAUCUAUUGUAGUGGAAACACUUUUCGGUAUAAAAAAAUUUUGAUUAGGUGUAAAUAUAGAUUGAUGUUCGCAAAGAUUAAAAUAAGGGUACCAUUUCUUCUAAAAUCUCAUUUUGAAAGACUUGCGGAGUUGUAUCUUUCAAUUUUAAUCAGUUUCUAAUCGACCACCGCAUAGAACACUUGUUGAAAAAAAAGUUGAAUGCUUUCGUGUAAAAGUUUCGUUAUAACAAUGUAUUAAAUGCAUACGACCAAAUCUGUAAUGCUGUUCUCCAUAUAUUGUUAACUUGUGAACAAGAAUUUUGUGUGCAAUUUAUAUAAACUUAGUUUUCCUUAUUUUCUUCAUUAGGAAAUGCUUAAUCAACAGCUUAAGAAAUUACUACUAGUGAGCUUUUAGAGUCCAAAUAGGAUUAUUAAAACAAAAAGAUAAUUGAAUAAAAUUUUAUUGGCAUUUAGGCAUUACUAUAUAGACAAUUGCUACAUGCAAGUAAUCUAUUUUUAAUACUACGAAUCUGUAGAAAAUUUUUUUACAUAAUCAAAUAUCUCAUUUUGUAAAAAAGUUUUAAUAAAACUCAGAGUUAGCGAACAUUAUAAUAUACCGUAGCUAAUGAGAAUGCUUUUUGCAUCAUCUAAAAGAAAAAAAGUUUUUUCGUUAAUACGAUUUACCGCAUAUAGUCGAUUAUAAAUGGCUCUUACUUUAGAAAACACUUCGUGCGAUUGUAUAAAUAAAUCCCCGAUCGAAAGAUGACAUGGUUUAAUGCAUCUUCUUAUCAUGAAAAUUAAUAACUUUUGAGUUUUUAUAGAAAGAGUGUAGAAUGGAACGUUACAUCUGAAAGCAAAUAAAUACUUCUUUAAUUUUCUAAAUAU
RNAcentral lists this long non-coding RNA (1428 nucleotides) under Polistes fuscatus (common paper wasp). RNAcentral describes it as "uncharacterized LOC122513837". The record is from RNAcentral. Lineage: Eukaryota; Metazoa; Arthropoda; Insecta; Hymenoptera; Vespidae.